CCUACGGGUGGCAGCAGUGGGGAAUAUUGGAUAAUGGGGGCAACCCUGAUCCAGCCAUGCCGCGUGUGUGAAGAAGGCCCUCGGGUUGUAAAGCACUUUCAGUGAGGAAGAACGCCUGGUGGUUAAUACCCAUCAGGAAAGACAUCACUCACAGAAGAAGCACCGGCUAACUCCGUGCCAGCAGCCGCGGUAAUACGGAGGGUGCGAGCGUUAAUCGGAAUUACUGGGCGUAAAGCGCGCGUAGGUGGCUUGAUAAGCCGGUUGUGAAAGCCCCGGGCUCAACCUGGGAACGGCAUCCGGAACUGUCAAGCUAGAGUGCAGGAGAGGAAGGUAGAAUUCCCGGUGUAGCGGUGAAAUGCGUAGAGAUCGGGAGGAAUACCAGUGGCGAAGGCGGCCUUCUGGACUGACACUGACACUGAGGUGCGAAAGCGUGGGUAGCAAACAGGAUUAGAUACCCCUGUAGUC
RNAcentral lists this ribosomal RNA (465 nucleotides) under Vreelandella stevensii. Its description in RNAcentral is "partial 16S ribosomal RNA". It matches the Rfam family "Bacterial small subunit ribosomal RNA", at positions 338 to 795 of the family's 1533-position model. The record is from RNAcentral. Lineage: Bacteria; Pseudomonadati; Pseudomonadota; Gammaproteobacteria; Oceanospirillales; Halomonadaceae.